Non-coding RNA from Enterovibrio coralii, 97 nucleotides. It matches the Rfam family "Bacterial small signal recognition particle RNA". From Rfam's summary of the family: The signal recognition particle (SRP) is a universally conserved ribonucleoprotein involved in the co-translational targeting of proteins to membranes. Lineage: Bacteria; Pseudomonadati; Pseudomonadota; Gammaproteobacteria; Vibrionales; Vibrionaceae. The record is from Rfam.
CAUAGGUUUCCUCGCAGCGUGACUGCAUGUAAUUGGUCAGAGCCGGAAGGCAGCAGCCAGCAUACAGAAAGCGGGUGCCGAGGGUUGGCUUGUGGGG